Long non-coding RNA from Bradysia coprophila, 155 nucleotides. The record is from RefSeq and is a predicted model, not a curated record. NCBI's taxonomy places the organism in Eukaryota, Metazoa, Arthropoda, Insecta, Diptera, Sciaridae.
GUUUGUGUAAGACCCAUAAUGUUAGACGAAUAACUUAACAGGAUGGUAUACCAUGAAUUUGUAAAUGUUUUUUUUCCUCGGAGCUGAGCACACCCUGAAAAUCGAGUCUAGCUACGGCCCUGAGUGUUUAUGUUUAUUUAUUGAUUUCAUUUUUA